UACGAAGGGGGCUAGCGUUGCUCGGAAUCACUGGGCGUAAAGGGUGCGUAGGCGGGUCUUUAAGUCAGGGGUGAAAUCCUGGAGCUCAACUCCAGAACUGCCUUUGAUACUGAAGAUCUUGAGUUCGGGAGAGGUGAGUGGAACUGCGAGUGUAGAGGUGAAAUUCGUAGAUAUUCGCAAGAACACCAGUGGCGAAGGCGGCUCACUGGCCCGGUUCUGACGCUGAGGCGCGAAAGCGUGGGGAGCAAACAGG
This 253-nucleotide ribosomal RNA is filed under the name uncultured bacterium. RNAcentral's name for it is "partial 16S ribosomal RNA". It matches the Rfam family "Bacterial small subunit ribosomal RNA", at positions 524 to 776 of the family's 1533-position model. The record is from RNAcentral.